RNAcentral lists this ribosomal RNA (443 nucleotides) under uncultured Fusobacterium sp. RNAcentral describes it as "bacterial SSU rRNA". It matches the Rfam family "Bacterial small subunit ribosomal RNA", at positions 338 to 795 of the family's 1533-position model. Lineage: Bacteria; Fusobacteriati; Fusobacteriota; Fusobacteriia; Fusobacteriales; Fusobacteriaceae. The record is from RNAcentral.
CCUACGGGAGGCAGCAGUGGGGAAUAUUGGACAAUGGACCGAGAGUCUGAUCCAGCAAUUCUGUGUGCACGAUGACGUUUUUCGGAAUGUAAAGUGCUUUCAGUUGGGAAGAAAAAAAUGACGGUACCAACAGAAGAAGUGACGGCUAAAUACGUGCCAGCAGCCGCGGUAAUACGUAUGUCACGAGCGUUAUCCGGAUUUAUUGGGCGUAAAGCGCGUCUAGGUGGUUAUGUAAGUCUGAUGUGAAAAUGCAGGGCUCAACUCUGUAUUGCGUUGGAAACUGUGUAACUAGAGUACUGGAGAGGUAAGCGGAACUACAAGUGUAGAGGUGAAAUUCGUAGAUAUUUGUAGGAAUGCCGAUGGGGAAGCCAGCUUACUGGACAGAUACUGACGCUGAAGCGCGAAAGCGUGGGUAGCAAACAGGAUUAGAUACCCUGGUAGUC